This 71-nucleotide transfer RNA is filed under the name Marmota monax (woodchuck). RNAcentral's name for it is "tRNA.Ala". Lineage: Eukaryota; Metazoa; Chordata; Mammalia; Rodentia; Sciuridae. The record is from RNAcentral.
GUGGUUGUGGCUCAGUGGUAGAGUGUUCGCCUAGCACAUGUGAAGCACUGGGUUUGAUCCUCAGCACCACA